This 253-nucleotide ribosomal RNA is filed under the name uncultured bacterium. RNAcentral's name for it is "partial 16S ribosomal RNA". It matches the Rfam family "Bacterial small subunit ribosomal RNA", at positions 524 to 776 of the family's 1533-position model. The record is from RNAcentral.
UACGUAGGGUGCGAGCGUUGUCCGGAAUUAUUGGGCGUAAAGGGCUCGUAGGCGGUCUGUCGCGUCGGGAGUGAAAACUCAGGGCUUAACCCUGAGCCUGCUUCCGAUACGGGCAGACUAGAGGUAUGCAGGGGAGAACGGAAUUCCUGGUGUAGCGGUGGAAUGCGCAGAUAUCAGGAGGAACACCGGUGGCGAAGGCGGUUCUCUGGGCCGUUACUGACGCUGAGGAGCGAAAGCGUGGGGAGCGAACAGG